GAAGAUACAGCUCAGUGGCAGAGCGCUUGCCUAGCAUACACGAGGUCCUGGGUUCAAUCCCCGGUACUUCCA
RNAcentral lists this transfer RNA (72 nucleotides) under Camelus bactrianus (Bactrian camel). It matches the Rfam family "tRNA". Rfam says of the family: Transfer RNA (tRNA) molecules are approximately 80 nucleotides in length. RNAcentral also lists the same sequence under 2 other names. The record is from Rfam by way of RNAcentral. Lineage: Eukaryota; Metazoa; Chordata; Mammalia; Artiodactyla; Camelidae.